AUGUUCGGACAACUUGGAUAUAUUAGAUGUUUUAUUAGCGGUUAAAUUGCAAAUUUUGAUAAGUAUUUGGAGAGUAAACUGCCAUUUUGGUCCCUGAGGUUUAGUCACUUUUGCCACUUUAGUCCAAAUUUGAAAUCUUUUACAUCCGGUCCGUGUGGUUUUAUUUCUUUUGCCAUUUUGGUCUAAAAAAGAAAUCAGCUGCUAUUUCUAAAAAACCUUGUUUUUUGUCCUUUUCCUUCCAAGGGGUAAAAUGGUCAUGAACUCAAAUAAUUUAAAGUUUAUUUUUAUAUAAAAUCUCAAAAAAAAAAAAAAAAAAAAACUUGGUUUGACUUUAUAAAAGCUAUCAUCUUCCCCAAAUGCAACCAUAAUAAAAUCUUGGCUUGCUCCCCUGUUAUAAUUAAACAUCAAUUCGGUCACCGUAACUUCAAUUUGUUCCUAACUUCAAUUUCGUUGACACCUGCACAGUAUUUUUGUAGUGGAAUUCCUUGUAUUGCGACUUGUGCGUGUUCUCUGAUAAAUACUCCAAUACAGAGCAAUAGAGCCUUCGCUUGUAAUAUGUUAUCUUUUACUCAUAGAAAAGAGCGUGUUCCCUCAUGUAUAAUGGUUGUUUAAGAGGAAAUGUGAUUAUUAUUUAAAUUUGUAUGUGUCAACCAACCCACCACCACUGACAACCACCCCCGCCACCCUUUUCUUCCCCAACCGCCCCUCAGAUUCAACCACCAUUCGAGUAACAAAAACAAUUUGACACCAAAUAAUUCAACCCGUCACCAAAUCAAAACCCCACCCUUCACCCCUCUCACCAAAUCAGAUUUAGCUAUAAACAAAGUCGUUGAUUACCUGGUGUCCAACGAUUAAGGAGAAGUGAACGGCUGCUACGGGUCGCCAAAGAGAACUCCAAAGCCUCGUGUUAAGUUUGGCCCUAAUUCCAGUUCUAGUGAUGAAGAACUUACUCGCAUCAGGAGGUAGUGGGGCUGUGGUGGCUGGAUUUAGUUGUGGUGGGUUUGCGACGGCUGGAUCCGGUGCUGGUGGGGCUCGAUU
Molecule: long non-coding RNA, 1038 nt
Filed under: Helianthus annuus (common sunflower)
Lineage: Eukaryota; Viridiplantae; Streptophyta; Magnoliopsida; Asterales; Asteraceae
Description: sRNA HanXRQr2_Chr09g0371661
Source: RNAcentral